RNAcentral lists this long non-coding RNA (259 nucleotides) under Panax ginseng (ginseng). Its description in RNAcentral is "long non-coding RNA (PGIN_LNC002312)". Lineage: Eukaryota; Viridiplantae; Streptophyta; Magnoliopsida; Apiales; Araliaceae. The record is from RNAcentral.
UCUACUUCUAGGGCAUUGAUCAUUGAGUUCCAAGCUUUGUUUGUAGGAUGUACUGGUUCAAUCCUAUAGUCUUGAUGUCAGGGUACAACAACAAGUCAUCAGAUCUAUCUAACAACAAUACUAAAUGAAGAUUUGAUCCAGUCAAACUACCUCUCAGGAACUUGCUCUUGAAGAUUCUUGGUUUUCCAGAAUCUUCAUCCGGGCAUAUCGGUCAACCUAGUUUGACUAAGAUUAUUUACGAUUCUGUAAAGGAUCUGGG